Molecule: transfer RNA, 70 nt
Filed under: Sphaerodactylus townsendi
Lineage: Eukaryota; Metazoa; Chordata; Lepidosauria; Squamata; Sphaerodactylidae
Description: tRNA-Ala
Rfam family: tRNA
About the family: Transfer RNA (tRNA) molecules are approximately 80 nucleotides in length. Their secondary structure includes four short double-helical elements and three loops (D, anti-codon, and T loops).
Source: RNAcentral
GGGUGUGGCUCAGUGGUACAGCAUCUGCUUGGCAUGCAGAAGGUCCCCGGUUCAAUCCCUGGCAUCCCCA